AUGAACGCUUGCGGCGUGCCUCAUCCAUGCCAGUCGAGCGCACAGACGAGGAGCUUGCUCCUCUGACGUUAGCGGCGGACGGGUGAGUAACACGUGGAUAACCUACCUAUAAGACUGGGAUAACUUCGGGAAACCGGAGCUAAUACCGGAUAAUAUAUUGAACCGCAUGGUUCAAUAGUGAAAGACGGUUUUGCUGUCACUUAUAGAUGGAUCCGCGCCGCAUUAGCUAGUUGGUAAGGUAACGGCUUACCAAGGCAACGAUGCGUAGCCGACCUGAGAGGGUGAUCGGCCACACUGGAACUGAGACACGGUCCAGACUCCUACGGGAGGCAGCAGUAGGGAAUCUUCCGCAAUGGGCGAAAGCCUGACGGAGCAACGCCGCGUGAGUGAUGAAGGUCUUCGGAUCGUAAAACUCUGUUAUUAGGGAAGAACAAAUGUGUAAGUAACUAUGCACGUCUUGACGGUACCUAAUCAGAAAGCCACGGCUAACUACGUG
Molecule: ribosomal RNA, 496 nt
Filed under: uncultured bacterium
Lineage: Bacteria
Description: partial 16S ribosomal RNA
Rfam family: Bacterial small subunit ribosomal RNA
Source: RNAcentral